This 1490-nucleotide long non-coding RNA is filed under the name Lactuca sativa (garden lettuce). RNAcentral describes it as "long non-coding RNA (LSAT_LNC005498)". Lineage: Eukaryota; Viridiplantae; Streptophyta; Magnoliopsida; Asterales; Asteraceae. The record is from RNAcentral.
GGUUAUACCUCAAUUUGAAGAAAACAGAUAUCUUAAAUAAAAUUGUUGAUAAAUGUUUACCAGUAAUUUUUAUUAUGAGAUUAGAUUAGUGGUUAGAGGGGAUAACGAAUAAAAUGGUUGAAAAAAGCUAAUUUCCAUGAAAUUAGCAAAUACCAUAUUGCUACGUAGUUGAAAAAAAUCAUAUAGUAUAUGAAAUAUGAAGUGUAAAAUGUUUACCGGGUGAAGAAGAAGACCCCUAGGAAGGGCCUCAUCAAGGAUGUCUCAACGGUUUGUGGCCAAACCUAUGAAUGUUACUAAGAUAUACGUGAGGGUACUAUAUUCUUUCAAAAUAAUAUAUAAAUAGUUCGAUUAAUAUGGCCUAAAUCCUAAUACAAGUGGAAAAAGGUAAAUUAAUCUUGCUUGAUGCCUUGAAUGCAUCCUGCAUUCCGACUGAUUAAGAAGCUUCAACAUUAUUCAUUGCACUUCUUAAUAGCUUAUGCUCUCAUUUAAGUCGAAUAAAUUAGAUAUUGAUGUUUGUUUAUAAAUACUUGGUUAUAAAACUAAAAUUCUCACUUGGGACUUUUAGCAAACUCCAGGUUUGCAAAUUGACAUGAACAUCUUAUCUGCACCUAAGCAUUAGGAAAAACAAAUAACAAAUCAAACAUAAAGACUGUCAAAUUCAAAACUUUAAGACAUAAAUGUGAUAAAAAAAACAACAAAACCUCCAAAAAUAGAGACAGUAAGUGACACUAAAAAACUCUGAAUAUCACAAAACAUUCCACUGACAAUCUAAUUAGAACUACAUAAGAGUUGUUGUAAUUCAUUUUCAAAACACACCAGAAACCUAAAUAAGUUGUUCACUAUAGAUUAAAAACUCAAAAGAAUUGAAUAAUAGUAAUUUCAUAUUACCAAAAAAAAUCCUUAAAAAACCAAAGAGACAAUACAAACCUGUCAUUACAACUAAAUGUAGGUGUUUGAGUCUAUUGUAUGCUUUGUCUUGUUCUCACCACAUCUGUACUUUUUUGCAAACCUGCCUUCAAAUAUGAAAUUUUGUAUCUAAAACCUGUUGCUGAGAAAGAAAGGAAUUUAGGGGCAAAAUAUUUAAUAACAUGAAUAUGAGUAGGGGGAUCAUUAGUUGUUUACCUGCAAACAAUCUUCUUGCGAAGCAGGGACCUACACAAUUCCAAACUCGAAAUAGUUCAAAUUGUUCUCCUAAUCGAUGAAUAUAUGACAAAAACUCACCUUAUUUCUUACACAAACAAAAGUUAGACCCAGGUGUGUGAGAGGAAAGAGUUAGGUUUCUUUUACAGAGAGGGUAUAGAGGCGUUGAAAGCAAAAAUCUAUCGAGAGGGUUUAGAGGUGUUGGAAGCCGAAAGUGUUGAAGAAUCUAGGGUUUCCUCUUCUUCAAUAAAAUUGUAGUCGUGUCGAUGAGUUCAAAUCGCAUAAAAGAAUAACCCGAUAGAAAUCAACUCACCUAACAGAAUGGGAGAAUAGAUGGUGGUAAUUGAUGG